This 292-nucleotide ribosomal RNA is filed under the name uncultured bacterium. Its description in RNAcentral is "partial 16S ribosomal RNA". It matches the Rfam family "Bacterial small subunit ribosomal RNA", at positions 775 to 1067 of the family's 1533-position model. The record is from RNAcentral.
GGAUUAGAUACCCUGGUAGUCUAGGCCGUAAACGAUGUGUGCUAGGUGUGUGGGUUUAAAAGCCUGCGCGCCAAAAGCUAACGCGUUAAGCACACCGCCUGGGGAGUACGGCCGCAAGGCUAAAACUCAAAGGAAUUGACGGGGGCCCGCACAAGCAGCGGAGCGUGUGGUUUAAUUCGAUGCAACGCGAAGAACCUUACCAGGGCUUGACAUUUGAGUAGUAGAUGCGAGAAAUCAAUUCGACCUUCGGGAGCUCAAACAGGUGCUGCAUGGUUGUCGUCAGCUCGUGCCG